CCCUUAGAUGCUCUGGGCCGCACGCGCGCUACACUGGUCGAUGCAACGAGUUUCUUUCCUUGGCCGACAGGCCUGGGCAAUCUUUGAACAUCGAUCGUGAUCGGGAUAGAUUCUUGUAAUUUUUGAUCUUAAACGAGGAAUUCCUAGUAAACGCAAGUCAUCAGCUUGCAUCGAUUACGUCCCUGCCCUUUGUACACACCGCCCGUCGCACCUACCGAUUGAAUGGUCCGGUGAAAUCUCCGGACUGGCGUGAGUCGGAGCAAUCUGACAAACGCCGGAAAGUUGAUUAAACCUUACCAUUUAGAGGAAGGUGAAGUCGUAACA
This 324-nucleotide ribosomal RNA is filed under the name uncultured eukaryote. Its description in RNAcentral is "partial 18S ribosomal RNA". It matches the Rfam family "Eukaryotic small subunit ribosomal RNA", at positions 1470 to 1796 of the family's 1831-position model. The record is from RNAcentral.